AGAGUUUGAUCCUGGCUCAGAAUCAACGCUGGCGGCGUGCCUAACACAUGCAAGUCGAACGAGAAAGGGGCUUCGGCCCUGAGUAAAGUGGCGCACGGGUGAGUAACACGUGACUAACCUACCCUUGAGUGGGGGAUAGCCGAGGGAAACCUUGAUUAAUACCGCAUAAUACCUACGGGUCAAAGGAGCAAUUCGCUUAAGGAGGGGGUCGCGGCCGAUUAGUUAGUUGGCGGGGUAAUGGCCCACCAAGACAGUGAUCGGUAUCCGGCCUGAGAGGGCGCACGGACACACUGGAACUGAAACACGGUCCAGACUCCUACGGGAGGCAGCAGUGGGGAAUUUUGCGCAAUGGGGGAAACCCUGACGCAGCAACGCCGCGUGGAGGAUGAAGUCUCUUGGGACGUAAACUCCUUUCGAUCGGGACGAUAAUGACGGUACCGAGAGAAGAAGCCCCGGCUAACUUCGUGCCAGCAGCCGCGGUAAUACGAGGGGGGCGAGCGUUGUUCGGAAUUAUUGGGCGUAAAGGGUGCGUAGGCGGUUCGGCAAGUCUUGUGUGAAAUCUUCGGGCUCAACUCGAAGUCUGCACUAGAAACUGCCGGGCUUGAGUGUGGGAGAGGUGAGUGGAAUUUCCGGUGUAGCGGUGAAAUGCGUAGAUAUCGGAAGGAACACCUGUGGCGAAAGCGGCUCACUGGACCACAACUGACGCUGAGGCACGAAAGCUAGGGGAGCAAACAGGAUUAGAUACCCUAGUAGUCC
Molecule: ribosomal RNA, 756 nt
Filed under: uncultured bacterium
Lineage: Bacteria
Description: bacterial SSU rRNA
Rfam family: Bacterial small subunit ribosomal RNA
Source: RNAcentral